RNAcentral lists this ribosomal RNA (253 nucleotides) under uncultured bacterium. RNAcentral describes it as "partial 16S ribosomal RNA". It matches the Rfam family "Bacterial small subunit ribosomal RNA", at positions 524 to 776 of the family's 1533-position model. The record is from RNAcentral.
GACAGAGGGUGCAAACGUUGUUCGGAAUUACUGGGCGUAAAGGGCUCGUAGGCGGCCAACUAAGUCGGACGUGAAAUCCCCAGGCUCAACCUGGGAACUGCGUCCGAUACUGGAUGGCUUGAAUCCGGGAGAGGGAUGCAGAAUUCCAGGUGUAGCGGUGAAAUGCGUAGAUAUCAGGAGGAACACCGGUGGCGAAGGCGGCUAUCUGGACAGAAACUGACGCUGAGGCGCGAAAGCUAGGGGAGCAAACAGG